CCACGAUGGGGUUCGCAUACAAAAGCAUGUUAAGCAGCUGUAAAGAAGCAAUGAGAAGGCUUGCUCCAGCAGAUAAUGUGAGAAAUGUAAACUCUGAGGUGUUUCCCUCCCUGCCUGGAGGAAACCUGGCUGGAUUAUGUUCACGGAUCUGGUACAGUUGGUGGUGUCAUCCUCAUUGUCCCACUGAGACCUUUGUUCAUGCUGUAGCUUCACGGAAAGAUUUAUGUUAUAGUGUCUCCGCCCUCCCCUGCUUGAUGGAUUAGAUCUCAUUGUUGGAGCCUGGUGCUCUCAGUCUACAAAAUGGAUGCUCAUAUAAAUUUCACAUCACCAUUCAACUGGGCAGAGCGAGGAAAAGAAUAAACCAUUUCAGUGUUGGCUCCAGGGCAAGAAGCAUCAGGGAAAAUUUCUGAGACAUCUUGAAAAAGCCUGCCUGGGACCCGCCCUGCUCCUACAAGACAAGCCAGCCUGCUCGUAUGGGCUCUGCAACCCCUAGACACCAAAGAGCCGUCCAUGCUCACAUCUGGAUGGAGACGCCCCAUUUCUCACACUGUAAACCCCUGACAGGAUAUGAAUUGAUACUUACCUAGAGAACUGCAUGAA
Microtus oregoni (creeping vole) is the source of this 600-nucleotide long non-coding RNA. RefSeq lists it as uncharacterized. The transcript is spliced from 3 exons. Lineage: Eukaryota; Metazoa; Chordata; Mammalia; Rodentia; Cricetidae. The record is from RefSeq and is a predicted model, not a curated record.